UGCCGGGUCAUCUAACGGUAGGAUAGCGGGCUUUGAACCCGUUCAUUUAGGUUCGAAUCCUAACCCGGCAGCCA
This 74-nucleotide transfer RNA is filed under the name bacterium. RNAcentral's name for it is "tRNA-Gln". It matches the Rfam family "tRNA". From Rfam's summary of the family: Transfer RNA (tRNA) molecules are approximately 80 nucleotides in length. The record is from RNAcentral. RNAcentral also lists the same sequence under 1 other name.